This 433-nucleotide ribosomal RNA is filed under the name uncultured bacterium. RNAcentral's name for it is "partial 16S ribosomal RNA". It matches the Rfam family "Bacterial small subunit ribosomal RNA", at positions 29 to 507 of the family's 1533-position model. The record is from RNAcentral.
AACGAACGCUGGCGGCAUGCCUAACACAUGCAAGUCGAACGAGACCUUCGGGUCUAGUGGCGCACGGGUGCGUAACGCGUGGGAACCUGCCCUUAGGUUCGGAAUAACUCCCCGAAAGGGGUGCUAAUACCGGAUAAUGUCUUCGGACCAAAGAUUUAUCGCCUUUGGAUGGGCCCGCGUUGGAUUAGCUAGUUGGUAGGGUAAAAGCCUACCAAGGCGACGAUCCAUAGCUGGUCUGAGAGGAUGAUCAGCCACACUGGGACUGAGACACGGCCCAGACUCCUACGGGAGGCAGCAGUGGGGAAUAUUGGACAAUGGGCGAAAGCCUGAUGCAGCAAUGCCGCGUGAGUGAUGAAGGCCUUAGGGUUGUAAAGCUCUUUUACCCGGGAUGAUAAUGACAGUACCGGGAGAAUAAGCGCCGGCUAACUCCGUG